AUUAAGCGCUGAGGAGGUCUCACAGACCUUUGCCCCCGGAAAAAUGAAAAGAGCGAGACGGCGGGCGACGCCGCCGCCGCCGCAUGGAGGCGGGCGAGCGACGCGGUAGCGGGGGACGAGCGACGCGGCCUCAGGGUCCCAUCGAGCGCGCGAGAGGCUCUGCGAGGCGGCACUGUCGCUGUACCGUGAAGCUGAUCCGCCGAGGGAGCAAUCAACCAUCAGUGGAGGAGGGGACGUAAUCUGAUGAGAUGAUAAUGCAGCUUCCGAAUCAAUUGUAGCCUGCUUCAGUGGCCACGUUGGGGGAUCGAUCCCAUUGUUCCAUUCUCAGCAGAAGAUAAUUGAUAUCUGUUUCUGGUUUUGAGGACUCAAAGGUCAUCGACCCUCAUUGACACAUAUGAACCGACCUACCGACCUGUUGCUAACUCUACUUGAUCAUGCAUGCCCCUGUAUCACAGGAUUUAUUCAUAUCUAUCCACAUAAGUAAAUGUUAUUAAUUUGUGAGCAGUUCCACUUCUACGUACAGUUCCAUAUCAGAACACAACACACGGUUAUGUCCAUUCUUAAA
Long non-coding RNA from Triticum aestivum (bread wheat), 565 nucleotides. RefSeq lists it as uncharacterized. The record is from RefSeq and is a predicted model, not a curated record. Lineage: Eukaryota; Viridiplantae; Streptophyta; Magnoliopsida; Poales; Poaceae. The transcript is spliced from 3 exons.